GAUGAACGCUAGCUACAGGCUUAACACAUGCAAGUCGAGGGGCAGCGGUAUCGAAAGCUUGCUUUCGGUAGCCGGCGACCGGCGCACGGGUGAGUAACGCGUAUCGAACCUGCCUCAUACUCGGGAAUAGCCUUGCGAAAGUAAGAUUAAUGCCCGGUGUUUUCAGAGUCCCGCAUGAGGCUUUGAACAAAGAUUUAUCGGUAUGAGAUGGCGAUGCGUCCCAUUAGCUUGUUGGCGGGGUAACGGCCCACCAAGGCAUCGAUGGGUAGGGGUUCUGAGAGGAAGGUCCCCCACAUUGGAACUGAGACACGGUCCAAACUCCUACGGGAGGCAGCAGUGAGGAAUAUUGGUCAAUGGGCGGAAGCCUGAACCAGCCAAGUAGCGUGCAGGAAGACGGCCCUCCGGGUUGUAAACUGCUUUUAGUUGGGAAUAAAACAGGGCUCGUGAGCCCCCUUGCAUGUACCAUCAGAAAAAGGACCGGCUAAUUCCGUG
RNAcentral lists this ribosomal RNA (492 nucleotides) under uncultured bacterium. Its description in RNAcentral is "partial 16S ribosomal RNA". It matches the Rfam family "Bacterial small subunit ribosomal RNA", at positions 28 to 507 of the family's 1533-position model. The record is from RNAcentral.